Small nucleolar RNA from Humulus lupulus (European hop), 107 nucleotides. Lineage: Eukaryota; Viridiplantae; Streptophyta; Magnoliopsida; Rosales; Cannabaceae. The record is from RefSeq and is a predicted model, not a curated record.
AUACUGUGAUGAGGACAUUUUCUCAACAUCUCCUUGAACCUUUCCCAAGAAUCAUAUAAAGAUUCCCCAUCCAGCUGAUAAAAAUUAUUGAUUCCCCCCCUCGGUUU